RNAcentral lists this small RNA (1749 nucleotides) under Oryza sativa Japonica Group (Japanese rice). RNAcentral's name for it is "sRNA Os11g0160850". The record is from RNAcentral. Lineage: Eukaryota; Viridiplantae; Streptophyta; Magnoliopsida; Poales; Poaceae.
UAAGAGAAGAAACAGAGUUUUCUUUAGAAAAGAAAAACGUUUAUGACCAAUACAUGUGCUACUUAGACCUGAACUGUUUGAACAAUUUCAAUAGUAGUUCGAAUCUGUCAAUGGCAUAGACAGCCUUUCGAACUAUACCAUCGACAAUAUAAUUAAUUCCUUCGUAGAAAGUUUCCAUCAGCUUAAGGGUUAUGCUUAUAUUUCUCUCAAUGCUUGAUGGUUCCUCCUGCCAACCUUGUACCGUCGUUUUUGUUUCUCAUAAGUAACUAUGUAGUUAGAGUACGGUGGGAUGCGGGAUUUCCAUACCAGCACAUCAAACUUGUCUUCAGCAGGAAUAUCAGCACCCAGUUUCAAAUCUUGUGAUGUUAGUUUUGGUAGCUCACUUCCAGGGCCAGCCACCCUAACAUCGUAAACCAGGCAGCCUUGAACUUGAGCACCCACAAAGGCUACCCUGGUGAAAUCAAGAGGGGCAUUUCUUUCAAGAAGAUCUUCAGGGUGUACACCAAAGGAAGACAAGUGCUUUUGUGCCACCUCUCUUAUGCAUAAUAACAUGCUCUGCCAGAACUGGGUGCUGGGAUUAGCUCUUAAUAGUCCACCUACUACGGUCGCACCAAGAAAUCCUCCCCUCAUCUCAGUAGCCAACUGCAUACCCAGAGAUGCUAGCUUUGGAUGCUCAUCAGGGUCCAUACUUCCAAAGGCAAGCGCCUUGAAGUAGUACCAGUACUCUUCUUCAGACAGCCUCUUCAGCCUGAUGGGUUGGGCUGUCCCAAACUUAAGAAUGUCCUCUGUUGUACCUAUCACUACAACCUUAAUUCCAGUACCGGGCAUAUUCUGCAAAUAUGAUUGAAAUUUUGUCCAAGCUGCCUCAUCCACAUCCCAAAUGAACUCAAUAACAAACAAAUAUUUCCCUUGAGAAGCCUUGGAGUUAAGCGAGAGCUCUCCGGUCUUCAGAUUGUCUUCUUUAAAGAAAAAUAUAUGGGAGAAGCAGUUGCGCACCCUCUCAUCCAGGCAAGCAUGUUGCACAAGAGUUUUUUUCCCAAUCCUUUGAGGGCCAAUAAUAGGAAGAAUGCUAACAUAUGGAUCAUGAGGAUCAUUGCAAAGCAAGAAAUUGAUGACUUGCUCCUUCUCAAUACGGCGACCAAACAUACAGUUAUCUAUGUAUAGAUAUGUACUGUAAGGCUGACGUGGUAGACGAGUCUGGCUACCAAGGAGAAUGACAAAUUCCCUCAUAUCUGCAAUCUUAGUUUCUAAACCAUCAACAACAUCUUUCAGGUUUGUUUUGCUCUUGCUACCAAAGGCUACUGGUGUGCGUUUUCUUAUGGCAUCAGCAAAACGAAAGCGCUUGCGAGAGUUACAGGCAGACAAGGCAAAUGACUGAAUCUCAUGACUCACCUCAUCUUCGAUGCUCUCUUCUUCGGAGGGUUGGAACUUGAUCUUGUCGAGCAUGUAGUAUCCGAGGUAGAAUCCCUCAAUAAGUCCCUUUAGCUGCAGGAGCAUUCCUUGAUUUGUGAUAUGGCGCCUUUCUGCUUCCUCAACAACAGAGUGCAUCCUCAGCAAGAUGCGCUCCAGCCUUCUACGAUCAUCCUCCUUACAAGUAUGGUUGUUGUAAUUUUGCGCUAAAGAAGAGAUGAACCGGCCGAUAAGAUCACUUGCCACAGCAGAAACCAGAAACUCCAUGCUUACCAAGCUAAAGCUCUUCUUGAGUUCUUGGGAGCAAGUAGUCAAAAUGGGACUUUUCAGAGCGAGAGA